GCCUUCGUGGAGUAGUGGUCAGCACGCUCGACUCGUAUUCGAGAGGUUCGUGGUUCGAGUCCCGGCGAAAGCG
RNAcentral lists this transfer RNA (73 nucleotides) under Stegodyphus mimosarum. It matches the Rfam family "tRNA". Rfam says of the family: Transfer RNA (tRNA) molecules are approximately 80 nucleotides in length. Their secondary structure includes four short double-helical elements and three loops (D, anti-codon, and T loops). Lineage: Eukaryota; Metazoa; Arthropoda; Arachnida; Araneae; Eresidae. The record is from Rfam by way of RNAcentral.